AACCCCGGGAAACUGGGGAUAAUUCCGGAUAACGCAUAUUUGCUGGAAUGCUUUAUGCGUCAAAAGGAUUCGUCUGCCCUAGGAUGGGUCUGCGGCCUAUCAGGUAGUAGUGGGUGUAAUGUACCUACUAGCCAUCGACGGGUACAGGUUGUGAGAGCAAGAGCCCAGAGAUGGAUUCUGAGACAUGAAUCCAGGCCCUACGGGGCGCAGCAGGCGCGAAAACUUUACAAUGCGGGAAACCGUGAUAAGGGGACACCGAGUGCCAGCAUCAUAUGCUGGCUGUCCGGAUGUGUAAAAUACAUCCGUUAGCAAGGGCCGGGCAAGACCGGUGCCAGCCGCCGCGGUAACACCGGCGGCCCGAGUGGUGAUCGUGAUUAUUGGUUCUAAAGGGUCCGUAGCCGGUUUGGUCAGUCCUCCGGGAAAUCUGAUAGCUCAACUAUUAGGCUUUCGGGGGAUACUGCCAGACUUGGAACCGGGAGAGGUAAGAGGUACUACAGGGGUAGGAGUGAAAUCUUGUAAUCCCUGUGGGACCACCUGUGGCGAAGGCGUCUUACCAGAACGGGUUCGACGGUGAGGGACGAAAGCUGGGGGCACGAACCGGAUUAGAUACCCGGGUAGUCCCAGCCGUAAACGAUGCUCGCUAGGUGUCAGGCAUGGCGCGACCGUGUCUGGUGCCGCAGGGAAGCCGUGAAGCGAGCCACCUGGGA
This 707-nucleotide ribosomal RNA is filed under the name uncultured Methanosarcinaceae archaeon. RNAcentral describes it as "SSU rRNA". It matches the Rfam family "Archaeal small subunit ribosomal RNA", at positions 128 to 833 of the family's 1478-position model. The record is from RNAcentral. Lineage: Archaea; Methanobacteriati; Methanobacteriota; Methanomicrobia; Methanosarcinales; Methanosarcinaceae.